UGAGUCUACACCUAUAAACUGCAUUGGAAAAUUCACCAUCAAGAACCCAUAGUGGGAGAAAGAAAUGAAACAAAAUGGAAUUCAGGUUCCAGCCUGCUGUUUGUAAUAAACUCUGAAAUGUGUGCCCAGCAGAUGCUGCUUACACAAGAAACACCACGGCAUGAAGUACAAUCGUACUGCUGUGGCCUGAUGGGGCACGUGAGUCCUUUAAAUGACACAAUCUGCUUCUCUCUUCCACAUCGGCCCUCGGAUCCUGGUUUCAGGAGAGUCCACCAGAGCCUUCUCUCCAGACGAGAUUUUCCUCUCAUCCCUGGUUAAAGGGAGAGAGAAAGAUUUUAUUCAGGAGACGGUGGAUGGAAGGGUGACCUUACUGAUUUGGGCAUCUAACACCAGAGGAGACCCAAAUGCUGUUUCAAAAGCUACUCAUUUGGCUUCCGUCCCUCUCCAUCACCUCUGCCAACUUACGCCUCCGCCUCCGGGCCUCGGAGCCGCCUUGGCAAUGGCCAGUCCUGCGAUUGGUUCCCAGCGGUGA
RNAcentral lists this long non-coding RNA (532 nucleotides) under Felis catus (domestic cat). RNAcentral describes it as "lncRNA (ENSFCAG00000041086.2)". Lineage: Eukaryota; Metazoa; Chordata; Mammalia; Carnivora; Felidae. The record is from RNAcentral.